AUGUGGCUACAGCCCCUUCCUGAUUUAUUUCCAAAUUGGCUUAUCAGCUCUGGGACCAAAUUUGUAAAUGAAUUCCUUGUCUCUCUGCAAUGGCUCAUUCCAGAGAAUUUGUGGACUUAUCUGAUCCCUGCACUCCUCCUCCUUGGGAUUGUAAUUGUUAGAACUGUAAUAUUAUAUCUAAUUUCCUCUAAGAGAGCCCUGAAAAAUACCUUAUAUGAGAUAAGGACACACUUAGAUUUACAUCAGCCUCCCCCUCAAGACCAUGUUUCCCAACUGAACCAAGCACUUGUUCCUUCUAUUACUCAAAAAUUUGCAGAACAAAAUACUUUUAUUAAUCAACGAUUUGCUGAACAAAAUACUUUUAUUGAUCAACAAUUUGUGGAACAAAAUACUUUUAUUAAUCAACGAUUGGUGGAACAGGAUGAAGUUAUGGAGGAAAAAUGGGGAGAGAUAAAAACUUUCCUGGAUGAAAUUAUGGAGGGAAAAUGGGGAGAGAUAAAAACUUUCCUGGAUGAAAUUAUGGAGGAACAAUGGGGAGAGAUAAAAACUUUCCUGGAUGAAAUUAUGGAGGAACAAUGGGGAGAGAUAAAAACUUUACUGCAAAACAUUGAAAGGGAGUUAAAAACAUCCCACAAUAGGAGUGAUUUAACUCUCCAUCCCCCAUCAUUAUCAGAUUCCCUGACCAACCCUGCCCAAAACGAUUUGGCUCAAAUAGAAGCCCCUUCACACCAACCAGCUCCUCCCCAUCCUGACCACCCAGCCCCUCCCCCUGCCAUUCUUGCCCCUCCCACCCUGGUUCCUCCUUCCAUUCAUGCCUCUUACCCUGCCUCCUCAGCCCCGGAUCCUCCCCCUGCCCUUCCCCCCACCCAUGCUCAUGCUCUAGCCCCACCCCCUGUUCCUGUCCCAGCCCUUCCCCCUGCCCUUCCCUCCACUAAUGCUCUAAUCUCCAACCCCCAUGCUCCAACAGCCAAUAAUCCUAACAUUGAAAAUGGAGCAAGUAGCCUAGAAACAGUAACACCAGAUAGUUUAGACAGAAGUUUAUUUCCAUUGAGGGAAGUACCCACCUUUAAUAAAGAAGGGAACUUGGUGUCUGUAAGACACUAUACACCUUUUAAACCUGAUGAUUUAGAAAAAUUCAAGCACAAUGUUCAAUCAUUUGAGGCAGAACCAAUGUUGGUUAUAGAAAAAUUAGAAAAUAUAUUCAGAAACUUUGACCCUUCUUGGUUGGAUGUGGAGAAUUUGUUAGAUACAUUUCUGACAAAGAGAGAGAAAAAUAAUGUCAUCUCUCUAGCUAAUAAGAAAAGUGGUAGAGGAGCUCAUCACUGGCCAACUGUAGAUCCAUACUGGAACCCCAAUAUUAUACAGGAUCAC
This 1371-nucleotide long non-coding RNA is filed under the name Monodelphis domestica (gray short-tailed opossum). RNAcentral's name for it is "lncRNA (ENSMODG00000043539.1)". The record is from RNAcentral. Lineage: Eukaryota; Metazoa; Chordata; Mammalia; Didelphimorphia; Didelphidae.